Molecule: long non-coding RNA, 3461 nt
Organism: Marmota monax (woodchuck)
Lineage: Eukaryota; Metazoa; Chordata; Mammalia; Rodentia; Sciuridae
Exons: 4
Source: RefSeq, a predicted model, not a curated record
GGUGAAAAGAGUGGGGAAAAGUGCGAAAAGAAGCAACAGUCGCUCCACCCGAGACCAGAAAAGUGGCCGGCCGCGUCCCUGCCGGCCGCCCUGCGCCGGGGAUGCAGCGGCCGCCGCGGCUAACGGUCCAGGGAGGCGGCAGGGGCGGCAGGAGCCGCUAGGCGGAGAGAGACCAGUGGUACCAAAGAGAACGAUGAUCAUUUCAUUGCUACAGUUUCACCAAAUUCUGCAGUCACAGAGUCAAGCAAGGAUGGUAUAGAACCAAGAGUUGUCCUCAGGACCCAUUUCAGCUUUUCAAAUAAAGCCUCCCAGGAGCUGCUGACUGGUUGUGAACAGAGUAUGGCUAUUUCUUUGACCUACAGCCCUGGCUUUCUGUAAUCCACAGAUUCUCAGAUGCUACUGUGCUAUUAGAUCUGACCAUGAGAUGUAAAAGUGGAAAUGGUGUGUGCAACAUUGAGGAAGUUCUUCAAAAGAAGAUAAUUCACCAUUCUUUCCUUCUUCCUGCUGGUUGAAAUUAGACCUGCUGGCUCAAGAUCCUUACAGAAGGCAGAGCAACAAGACUGAAAGAGCUGAGUCCUUGACACUGGAAUACCAAAAUCACCCUUGAAUUUCUACCUCCAUCCACUUUUACAUGGAGAGAAAUAAACUUUUAUUUAAGCUACAAUUAUCCUAGGUUUUCUGACAUAUACAGCCAAAAUUAUCUUGUUCAAUGUGGAUAUGUGUAUUAGCUUCCUACUGCUAAAGUAAAAAUAUUACCACAAGUUUAAUGGAUUAAAACAAAUGUAAUUCUAGAAGUCAGAGUACAAAAUGGGUCUCAUGAGACUAAAAUCAAGGUUUUGGCAAGAUGAGUCUACUUCAGAAAACUCUAGGGAGAGUAUGUUACUUUGCCUUUUCCAGCUCCUAGAGGCUGCUCACAUUCCUUGGCUCUUUAGCAUCUUCUUCCAUCUUCAAAGCCAGCAACAUCUGGCAGUCAUAUUGCCAACUCACUGUUUCUUUUAUACUGCCUCCCUCUUCCACAUAAAAAGGACUUUGCUAUUCAGUUGAACCCACCCAGAUAAUCAGGACAUCUUCCCAUUUUAAGAUCAACUGAUUAGCAAGCUUAAUUCCAUCUGCAAUUUUAAUUCCCCCUUGUGAUAUAACCUAACAUUCACAGGGUUGGGUGAGUAAGACAUGAACACCUUUGGGGGCCACUGUUCUGCCUACUACAGUGUACAGAUUUUUAAGUUUUGUGAUUCAGAAAUACGUUUUUACUUUAUGAUUUAUCUUUAAUACAUUUACAACUUAUAACCCUAUGCUAAUUAGUCAUUACUCUUUAUAGAACAUUUAGCAUUGUGCCCCAUAAUUUUUAAAUUUUAUAUAUGUGAAGGACAGGUAGUCUAAAAAUGAAUUAUAAUCUUUUCUAAAUUCACAGGGAAAGUGUAAGUAGGAUAUUUUCAGUAUUGAAUUUUUCUUCAUAUUUUUAAUAAUUUGCUUGCAGUUAUUUACUUCUCAUACAAGAUUCCAUGUAAGUUAAGAUAAAGUUCAAUAUAGAAUUAUUUUCAAGUGUAAAUUGUACGUAUUUCCUGGUGUUCCUCACUUUCCAAACACAUUUGAGUACAGCACUUUAUGAUCCUCUAAUCGUCAAAAAUUUUAAAUUGGUUAAUUUCAUGGAAAUCCAAAUAGUAUGUUGGUGUUACUCCUUCAUUCAAUGCCUAUUUUCAAUCCUAAAGCUUUAAUGGGGGUGGGGGUGAGAGAAUUAAAAGCUAGAAGUCACAGAGUAUGCAAAUCUUAAGGAUGGAACUAUAGUGCUUUUGGGGUGCAUAUCCAAUAGAAUUAAGCCCCACAUAGCUAAUAAUUCCCCCAUACUUUAGUUUGUCCAUGCCACUGAUAUAGCAUUUAUCCCUAUAUGUGGACUUUUGUUGAGAGCCACUGCCACAUCAGGAUGGUGCCUGGCAUUUUGCCAGAAGGAGUGGUUGGGAGGUGACGCCAGUGAGCCAUUAAGAUGAUAAUAAUUAAGUUAAGCUGUGUAUAAUUAUUAAGAUAAUGACUGAUUGCUGUAACUGGAUGAUGCUAAAGUGAAACAAGCUGUGUAUUCAGUUGGUAUAUAAACCUCUGCUGUCCAGCAAUAAGGCGGUUCCUGCUACCUCCGGCGCCCGCUACUUUUGAGUUCCCGUUGGUUCUCGCAGAGUUUCCUUGGAGUUAUGGAGAGUUCCCGUGGGGUUCGGGCAAUAAAGUAGUUCCUGUUUGAACCUACAAGUGGCUAGUGGCCUCUCAGUUAUUUGUGCCCAGCCAGACUGCAGGCAGUUUUUGUUUUGUUUACAUCAGGCCCCUCUCCUAAUUAUCUUUGGGUUUCUGUUACUGAAAGCAGUGCCCGUCCAAAACAUUCUUAAUAAUUAUGGAAAAGAGGGAAGGUUUCUUGUCAUUGAUGAAUCAUUACAGCACAGAAAUUUUGUGAAGAGCAAAUAGAAUAGGGUUUGCGGACUAUACCAUAUGUUAUCUGGCACUUGGUAAACAGUACAUGAAAGACAACAAAAAAUAAAUAAAUUCUUAGGCAAAGAUUAAAGUCAGAUGUAAAGGACAUAAUCACUAGAAUUCUUAUAUAGUGUCUUUCUCUUCAAAGCAAAAAAGAUAAUCUUUAUCCCUGAAAUUGUCAUUUAAAGCACAGGUAUAACUAAAGAACAAAAGAAAGAGAUGAUGUUAACAUGUUUUGCUUAGCAUUAGUUGGAAUAUUGUCUAAAAAUGUUAGCUUACCUUAGCUAUAUUAUUUAAGGAACUGUCUCUACAAUAAGUACACUUCCAACCCUAGGAAAAAUAACACUAUUUGCAAUGCAAUUAGCUAGCCUGUGGCACUUGCUAUUCUUAUACAGAUCAUUUUUAAAAUGCAAGUAAAGAUUAUGAAAGAAAUAUAAAAAUUGCCUUAGUGUUGUUUCUUGAUUUGCAGAUACCUAUUUGAACUGUAGAAGCAAAAAGUAGGAAAUUAUCAUAAAGAUAUUGGUGAUUUUUUUUUCAUAGAAUCCAAAAGUAAGAAUGAAGUCAGGUCUCCCAAAUGAAGAAUCAUGAAUACCUCUAAAUGUACAGGUGGUGCCUCUCCAUUUUUUGGCUCUUUGUGUUUCUGUUCCAUUUUGUUGGAAGGCCUACUGUUGUGCAUGAAGGUAGUGUGAGGAGACAGAUAAAUACCUGCUAUAACCAUUCCAUAGUGCUUAGAGAAAAAAAUCCUACAUCGAAAGUGUUAGUCAAUAAAAAUUCUGGUUUUUUUGUAGUUACAAUAGUCAGUUUUUCCAUAUACAUAUAAGAACAACAUAAUUUAGUAAUUUCCUUUAACCUACAUCCAUUUUCCUACAUAGCUACAUAACCUUUAUAUUUGUCCUUUUUUACAUGAUUGUAACAUUCAAGUUGAUAAGUGUAAUUUACUAAGCCAGGGUUCAUAUUGUUGAAAGUUUCAUUAUUUUUGCUUUAUAAAGAAUAAACACUAUUAUAAUAAA